UGUAUAGUUUGCUCUGCACCUCUAUAUAUUUCUACUUAAGGUAGUCGUAUGUUCUACUGCUCUAUGUACUUGAAUAUCUGAUGAGACCUAGGCUCCUUAGCAAGGGCUAUGGUGCCAUUAUCUUUGCAGUAUAAUAUCAUGGCAUCUGAUGGCAUGACAUCCAGUUCUACAACUAAUAUUAGAACCAGAAUGUAUCCUACACAUCUAAAGUGUACUCAGCUUCCAUUGAUCGAUU
RNAcentral lists this long non-coding RNA (235 nucleotides) under Elaeis guineensis (African oil palm). RNAcentral describes it as "long non-coding RNA (EGUI_LNC057917)". Lineage: Eukaryota; Viridiplantae; Streptophyta; Magnoliopsida; Arecales; Arecaceae. The record is from RNAcentral.